This 69-nucleotide transfer RNA is filed under the name Marmota marmota marmota (Alpine marmot). It matches the Rfam family "tRNA". From Rfam's summary of the family: Transfer RNA (tRNA) molecules are approximately 80 nucleotides in length. Their secondary structure includes four short double-helical elements and three loops (D, anti-codon, and T loops). Lineage: Eukaryota; Metazoa; Chordata; Mammalia; Rodentia; Sciuridae. RNAcentral also lists the same sequence under 1 other name. The record is from Rfam by way of RNAcentral.
GGUGAUGUAGCUCAGUGGUAGAGCACUUGCCUUGUACAAGUGAGGUGUUGGGUUCAAUCCUCAGCACCA